RNAcentral lists this ribosomal RNA (451 nucleotides) under uncultured bacterium. Its description in RNAcentral is "partial 16S ribosomal RNA". It matches the Rfam family "Bacterial small subunit ribosomal RNA", at positions 29 to 523 of the family's 1533-position model. The record is from RNAcentral.
AACGAACGCUGGCGGCAGGCUUAACACAUGCAAGUCGAACGGGUGUAGCAAUACAUCAGUGGCAGACGGGUGAGUAACACGUGGGAACCUUCCUAGGGGUACGGAACAACUCAGGGAAACUUGAGCUAAUACCGUAUACGUCCGUGAGGAGAAAGAUUUAUCGCCCUUAGACGGGCCCGCGUCGGAUUAGCUAGUUGGUGGGGUAACGGCCUACCAAGGCGACGAUCCGUAGCUGAUCUUAGAGGAUGAUCAGCCACACUGGGACUGAGACACGGCCCAGACUCCUACGGGAGGCAGCAGUGGGGAAUCUUGGACAAUGGGCGCAAGCCUGAUCCAGCCAUGCCGCGUGAGUGAAGAAGGUCUUCGGAUUGUAAAGCUCUUUUGCCAGGGACGAUAAUGACGGUACCUGGAGAAUAAGCCCCGGCAAACUUCGUGCCAGCCGCCGCAGUAA